RNAcentral lists this long non-coding RNA (678 nucleotides) under Brassica rapa (field mustard). Its description in RNAcentral is "long non-coding RNA (BRAP_LNC001038)". The record is from RNAcentral. Lineage: Eukaryota; Viridiplantae; Streptophyta; Magnoliopsida; Brassicales; Brassicaceae.
UUACAGAAUAGUUUCUCAACAACUUUUUCUGUUGCUAUACAUAUUUCAAUUCUUUGGUGAAAACUCAAAACAUACUUCUAUGUGCAAAGACGAAACAUAUUGGUUGCUAGUGAUUAAAACUUUUGCGAGGGGGAGGUACUUGUCUCCUGAUUGUUGUUGUCGCAAAAGACCUUUUCGUUAAGUGAGUUUGUCCGUGUGAACAAAUGAAACAUGUGAUCAAGAAUGAUCUUGUGACCUUGGUGCGGUGUCUUCCAAAGACUUGACUGUGAGAACUUUUUUUUUUUUUGAACAACCCUUAGACUGUGAGAACUAGAAAAUGGAAAAACGAAGAGAUAUAUGGCCCAGACGAUUGUUGGGCUUUGCCCUUUGAAGAAAUAGACGUGUUUUGAAAAUGAGGCAUCAGGUGCAAAUGGUCUAAAUUCUACUUAAGUUUCACUUAUCAACUGAAAAUUUAGCUUAGUUCAAAUUGUUAUUGAGAGUGAAAAACUGGUCUCCCAUGAGAAGUAGAUUGUAUUUCCUCUAUUGAAGAAAUUCAAUGGUCUGUUCAAAAAUCGAGUCUUGUAUGUUUUAGCUAUCCAGCCCAUUAAACUUCUAAUAGUUUGGACCUUAAAAGCCCUUAGUUUAUUUGAAUCUCUCGUUGAUAUUUUUCGCCAUAUUCUUCUUCUAGCUUCCUCACCG